UACGUAGGGUGCGAGCGUUGUCCGGAAUUAUUGGGCGUAAAGCGCGCGUAGGCGGCUUCUUAAGUCCGGGGUGAAAGGUCCAGCGCUCAACGCGGACAGUGCCUCGGAUACUGGGGGGCUUGAAUGUGGCAGAGGAUAGUGGAAUGGCUGGUGUAGCGGUGAAAUGCGUAGAUAUCAGUCGGAACACCCAUGGCGAAGGCAGCUAUCUGGGCUAACAUUGACGCUGAGGUGCGAAAGCGUGGGGAGCGAACGGG
RNAcentral lists this ribosomal RNA (254 nucleotides) under uncultured bacterium. Its description in RNAcentral is "partial 16S ribosomal RNA". It matches the Rfam family "Bacterial small subunit ribosomal RNA", at positions 524 to 776 of the family's 1533-position model. The record is from RNAcentral.